Long non-coding RNA from Cyprinodon tularosa, 231 nucleotides. RefSeq lists it as uncharacterized. The record is from RefSeq and is a predicted model, not a curated record. NCBI's taxonomy places the organism in Eukaryota, Metazoa, Chordata, Actinopteri, Cyprinodontiformes, Cyprinodontidae. The transcript has 2 exons.
UCCAUCCUUACGGAUUAAAUAUGCUUAACUCUUGUCUCUGCUUUAGUCUGUUUGUGUGUGAAUGCAGAGGCAGCAGAUGUUUACCAGAUAAAGGUUCUCCAGGGCUGAGUCAGCUGACAGGAAGUAAAGAAGAAAGAAACAGGAAGGAAGAAGACGGAGACAAACGAUGAGAAAAGCAGCAAUGACUGGCGGGAAGUGUGGAACAGAACAGAAGAUGAAAGCUGUAAACAA